This 2201-nucleotide long non-coding RNA is filed under the name Cricetulus griseus (Chinese hamster). RNAcentral's name for it is "lncRNA (ENSCGRG00015037442.1)". The record is from RNAcentral. Lineage: Eukaryota; Metazoa; Chordata; Mammalia; Rodentia; Cricetidae.
CUCCUGCUCUCCUCUCUAUGGAGCCACCAUGUGAUCCCAGGAAGAGGACAUCAGCAGAAAGCAUCCUCAGUAAGUUGGGAUUUUAGGCCUGUGCCAUAAGCCCCAGAUGAAAAUUGAAUUGGAAAGAAAUCUGGGUGAAGAAAAGGAUGACAAGGAGGAGCCAGGUGUAAUGGCUUGCAGCUAUAAUCACAAAACUGUGGACGCUGAGGCAGAACAACUUUCUCCAUGCACAGCUCCACUCCCGGGUACCUUUUCAUUCACCUAGGCACCAACUGACACCAAUAUUGGGGGGUGAUUUAGGGAUCCUAAGCCUGGUCACUCUGAUGUUUUGCUAAAUUCCCUUGUCCCCUGAAGAGGGCCUUAAGCUUGUUGUCUGCCUUGGUCGUUGUAAUAACUCAUCUUGGUUGUCAACUUGAAUACAUCUGGAAUGAGCUAAAACCCAAGCUGCUUGGCAUACCUGGGAUAGAUUUUCUUAAGACUCACCUUCAAUCUGGGCUACACCUUCUAGGGACUGGCCACAUACAGGACACGGGAGAAAGACACUUUCUCUUUGCUUGCUUCCCCCCACUCUAACUAGCAAGUUCAUCUAUCGGCUAUUGAGGCAUUCCUUCUCUGGUAUUAGAACUCGAUUCUUCAGAUUCCAGUGUAGACUGCAGGAAUCCUCUGGGACUCUAACACCAGACUGGAACUGCUGAGACAUCUAGCCUCAGGGACUGCACAAAUACCAGAUUCUCAGCCUCUCCAUUACAAGACAGCCAUUGUUGACUACUCAGACUACAUCCAGUAGCCCCUCUCCCUGUCACAAUUACAUCAGUUAACAGACUAGAGGUGAUACCCAAAGAACACGGAGGCCUGUGUGCUGAAGUAAGUCAACACAUUACUUCCGGAUCUAGAUGCUAGGAGAAAUUUCUCUCCUUAGCCCCAUCUAAUUCUCAUGUUCUCUACAAGUGCAGUGGGCACACAGAAGAGCUCUUUCUUCCUAGCAUUUUUAAGAGCCCCUGUAUCAGGCUCCAACUCUGGGCUUCAGGGUUCAGCUUAUAUGUGCUGUUUGUGGAUGAUUUAGACCACAAUACUAAACUCCUCUUUGCCUGGAUAAUUUUGCCUACAAAUGAGAGUAAUAAUAGGAGAGACCUCCCUAUUGGUGCAUCAGAUGAUUAUAGUGGUUAGUACACAUCCAAUCACUUAGUAUAGUGCCCAGUGCAGAGAAGCCUUCUUUCUCCAAGAGUUGUCCCUCAUGGUCUUUCUUCUUGCUUACAAUGGUACUUGCAGGGUCCCACAGCUGGAAACUCUAUCAUCUUGCUCUCUGCUCUUUGGCUGUUUCUUCUAUCCUGAUCAUGACCCUCCUGCCCUGGGUCUGUCUUCACAGGCUGUCUUCUCUGCCUUCUGUUUAGGGGAAAGCCAAACUACAGAGGGCCUAACUCACGCAUGAAAGGAAGAACUGAAGUAGGAUGGAAGCAUGUGGCAGGUUUCUCCAUCACAGUUUCUGUCUUGAUUUUGUAAGAAGAACAAUUCCAGAGUUUAAAAGAGCUCACAUCUUACAGGAUCAACCAAGGGUGAUGGUAGAACAUGAAGACUUCUUAUCUAUUUGGUUAGGCUCUUCAAAGCAGCAAGGAAAGAGUGCAUGCACCUGGAUCCUCCUCGCCAAUAAGGAAACCCAGAGUGCCAUCUCUUUAAGUGAGACACGUAUCAGAACAUGGCAUCGACCCCAGAAAUUGCACAGAGCCAGAGUGUCCCCAGCAUCAACACCUUUCAGGAGAGAAACUGAAUUCAUUUGCCAACAACCAACUCCAUCGGACAGUGCCAGAAAGUACGGGACUGCUUGCGUUCAUUUCUUCGAGAUGAGUCAGGGUUGCAGGGUGUCGAUGAUUAGAUGUAAAUGUUAAACCAAAAGCCCAUGGUGGUCACUUUGGCUUUCCUUCUGUGGAAAUCCAGCUUCUCACUUGGGGGGAAGGGGUUGUGUUACAUGUGAUAUUGGCAUGUUGCUCUGGUUUCCUGAAGCCCCCAUUUUUUGGGUCUCUCUGUGCCCUUCCCAUAUACACAAACACAUUUUCAGGUAAAACAUCUGGAAGGUCCUAUUUCAAAAGAGCAUGGCCAAGAAAAUCUUUCCAUUUGUAAAAAUAAUGUAAACCCUUUAGACUGUAAUGUCCUGCAGAGCAGGGGAAUUAUACAACAGCAAUAAAAUUGUCAGCUUUCAAUAAUCA